AUUGAACGCUGGCGGCAUGCCUUACACAUGCAAGUCGAACGGCAGCACGGGAGCAAUCCUGGUGGCGAGUGGCGAACGGGUGAGUAAUAUAUCGGAACGUGCCCGGUCGUGGGGGAUAACGUAGCGAAAGCUACGCUAAUACCGCAUACGAUCUACGGAUGAAAGCGGGGGAUCGCAAGACCUCGCGCGAUUGGAGCGGCCGAUAUCAGAUUAGGUAGUUGGUGAGGUAAAGGCUCACCAAGCCGACGAUCUGUAGCUGGUCUGAGGGGACGACCAGCCACACUGGGACUGAGACACGGCCCAGACUCCUACGGGAGGCAGCAGUGGGGAAUUUUUGGACAAUGGGCGAAAGCCUAGAUCCAGCAAUGCUGCGUGCA
RNAcentral lists this ribosomal RNA (377 nucleotides) under uncultured bacterium. RNAcentral describes it as "bacterial SSU rRNA". It matches the Rfam family "Bacterial small subunit ribosomal RNA", at positions 30 to 405 of the family's 1533-position model. The record is from RNAcentral.